Molecule: non-coding RNA, 30 nt
Filed under: Cricetulus griseus (Chinese hamster)
Lineage: Eukaryota; Metazoa; Chordata; Mammalia; Rodentia; Cricetidae
Source: RNAcentral
AGGACUGUAGUGGAUAAGCUGUAGCGAUCC